AAAUUGAAGAGUUUGAUCAUGGCUCAGAUUGAACGCUGGCGGCAGGCCUAACACAUGCAAGUCGAACGGUAACAGGAAGCAGCUUGCUGCUUUGCUGACGAGUGGCGGACGGGUGAGUAAUGUCUGGGAAACUGCCUGAUGGAGGGGGAUAACUACUGGAAACGGUGGCUAAUACCGCAUAACGUCGCAAGACCAAAGAGGGGGACCUUCGGGCCUCUUGCCAUCAGAUGUGCCCAGAUGGGAUUAGCUUGUUGGUGAGGUAACGGCUCACCAAGGCGACGAUCCCUAGCUGGUCUGAGAGGAUGACCAGCCACACUGGAACUGAGACACGGUCCAGACUCCUACGGGAGGCAGCAGUGGGGAAUAUUGCACAAUGGGCGCAAGCCUGAUGCAGCCAUGCCGCGUGUAUGAAGAAGGCCUUCGGGUUGUAAAGUACUUUCAGCGGGGAGGAAGGUGUUGUGGUUAAUAACCGCAGCAAUUGACGUUACCCGCAGAAGAAGCACCGGCUAACUCCGUGCCAGCAGCCGCGGUAAUACGGAGGGUGCAAGCGUUAAUCGGAAUUACUGGGCGUAAAGCGCACGCAGGCGGUCUGUCAAGUCGGAUGUGAAAUCCCCGGGCUCAACCUGGGAACUGCAUUCGAAACUGGCAGGCUUGAGUCUUGUAGAGGGGGGUAGAAUUCCAGGUGUAGCGGUGAAAUGCGUAGAGAUCUGGAGGAAUACCGGUGGCGAAGGCGGCCCCCUGGACAAAGACUGACGCUCAGGUGCGAAAGCGUGGGGAGCAAACAGGAUUAGAUACCCUGGUAGUCCACGCCGUAAACGAUGUCUACUUGGAGGUUGUGCCCUUGAGGCGUGGCUUCCGGAGCUAACGCGUUAAGUAGACCGCCUGGGGAGUACGGCCGCAAGGUUAAAACUCAAAUGAAUUGACGGGGGCCCGCACAAGCGGUGGAGCAUGUGGUUUAAUUCGAUGCAACGCGAAGAACCUUACCUGGUCUUGACAUCCACGGAACUUUCCAGAGAUGGAUUGGUGCCUUCGGGAACCGUGAGACAGGUGCUGCAUGGCUGUCGUCAGCUCGUGUUGUGAAAUGUUGGGUUAAGUCCCGCAACGAGCGCAACCCUUAUCCUUUGUUGCCAGCGGUCCGGCCGGGAACUCAAAGGAGACUGCCAGUGAUAAACUGGAGGAAGGUGGGGAUGACGUCAAGUCAUCAUGGCCCUUACGACCAGGGCUACACACGUGCUACAAUGGCGCAUACAAAGAGAAGCGACCUCGCGAGAGCAAGCGGACCUCAUAAAGUGCGUCGUAGUCCGGAUUGGAGUCUGCAACUCGACUCCAUGAAGUCGGAAUCGCUAGUAAUCGUGGAUCAGAAUGCCACGGUGAAUACGUUCCCGGGCCUUGUACACACCGCCCGUCACACCAUGGGAGUGGGUUGCAAAAGAAGUAGGUAGCUUAACCUUCGGGAGGGCGCUUACCACUUUGUGAUUCAUGACUGGGGUGAAGUCGUAACAAGGUAACCGUAGGGGAACCUGCGGUUGGAUCACCUCCUUACCUUAAAGAA
Molecule: ribosomal RNA, 1552 nt
Filed under: Salmonella enterica
Lineage: Bacteria; Pseudomonadati; Pseudomonadota; Gammaproteobacteria; Enterobacterales; Enterobacteriaceae
Also listed under: 1 other name
Description: bacterial SSU rRNA
Rfam family: Bacterial small subunit ribosomal RNA
Source: RNAcentral